Molecule: non-coding RNA, 1505 nt
Organism: Macaca mulatta (Rhesus monkey)
Lineage: Eukaryota; Metazoa; Chordata; Mammalia; Primates; Cercopithecidae
Source: RefSeq, a predicted model, not a curated record
GAACUUAUCUGUCCUUCUGUUAAAACAUUUUGAGACAUGUCCACAUUUUAUUUUCAUUUUAACUACCUUAUUUUAUUCACAUUAUUAUUCUAAGCCCGAUCAAUUUUUACAAAAUGAUCAGAUUAUAAGUCCUAAAUGAAAUACCACUAAUUUGAAUCAUAUUCAGAAUGUAAUUUGUUAAGUAAGAAAUUGUACAAGAAAUGUGAUAGAUCGUGCAAAAAUUAUAGGUCUUAAAUCCUACAUAUCUCUAAUCAAAUGAUUUUAAUACUAAUUUUCAUUACAAUUAAAGGAUUCAGUAAGGAUUGUAAGUACUUUCGAUUAUGCUGAAGACUCGGAACAAGUUCUGAUAUUUUAGCAUAGAUGACAGGAUGCAUGCAAUGUAUCAGCAUGUAAAAUGAAGGAAAGAUAGAAAAACAGUCACGGCAAUUUUGUGCAGUAGUACUAUCAUGCUGCUGUGCACGUAAAACAAUUUAAUCACACAUAACAUAGUAAUAAUGCUUACUUAUUGCUAGAAAAACAGGAUUUUAAUUAUUUUAAUGAUAAAUCUGCUUUAUAAUUAGGCGGAAAAGCAAGCUGUGAAAAAGCAACUUUAGUACUUAAUUCUAGUGUUAAUUUCAAAAACAAACAAAUAAAAAACUGAAAAACAAGCGAACACAAAGACAUGCUGAAAUGGUUCUUUUAGAGUAUUACAAGCCGUAUGGUGCUUUGUAGUUUACAAGUUUUAUACCCAUGCCUGAAUGCAUUUUGAUCUCAAAGCAUCUUUUGGGGUAGGUGUGGCAGGCAUUAUUGUUCAUUCCUACAAAUAGAGUUUAAAAUUUUUAAGAAAAUCAUUUUAGUACUUUAUUGAAAAUGCUAUAUUUGCAGCCUUAACUCUUGAUGUUUGUAGAACAUUGAAUUUUAUUGAUUGUAAGAUAAAUUUAUUUCAACUGGAUUGUUUACAGUCAAUAAACUCUAAAAUCAUGUCACGGAGGUAGAGUCAGAUUAUGGUUGCCAUUUACCUGUGUAUGUGCAAACCUCAAAAACCUCAGUCUUCAAACUUGGAGAAUGAGCGUUCUUGUGGAAGAUUAUUCUUCAGAGAUGAUAGUGGAGUACUCUUUAAAACCCUAGGUACCAAAUUGCUGGAGAAGUGUUUGAAGGAUGUGAUGGAUCCCAUAUGUUUUACCAGCAUACUAUAAGUUGAAAUCAAAAGUUGACUGGUCUUACAUAAUUGCAAAGUCAGAUGUCAGAUGCCAACAUCAAAAGCUCUUCGAAAAUAUCACAUAACCAAUGCUCUUUGUAACCCAAGGGAUGACAGUGUGUGGAAAAGCACAAACGUCAAGAACUCUAAACCUAAAAGUUAUUUAGACAAGUUAAAUUCCAAAUGUGAAGCAAUUAUAGACUGUUAAUAUAUUUGCCUUGUAAAUUUGUAUGUAUAUGCAUGAUAAAAAUCUAUCACUAAUUAAGAGUAAAAAACUUGCAACAUAUAUAAGCUUUCUAGAUAUUAAAAUGCGUAUCAUUUAAUUGAA